RNAcentral lists this ribosomal RNA (253 nucleotides) under uncultured bacterium. RNAcentral's name for it is "partial 16S ribosomal RNA". It matches the Rfam family "Bacterial small subunit ribosomal RNA", at positions 524 to 776 of the family's 1533-position model. The record is from RNAcentral.
UACGUAGGCAGCAAGCGUUGUUCGGAAUUACUGGGCGUAAAGCGUGUGUAGGCGGUGCUCCAAGUCCGAUGUGAAAUCUCCCGGCUUAACUGGGAGGGUGCAUUAGAAACUGGAAUGCUAGAGGAUGGGAGAGGUAAGCGGAAUUCCUGGUGUAGCGGUGAAAUGCGUAGAUAUCAGGAGGAACACCUGUGGUGUAGACAGCUUACUGGACCAUAUCUGACGCUGAGACACGAAAGCGUGGGGAGCAAACAGG